RNAcentral lists this ribosomal RNA (974 nucleotides) under uncultured soil bacterium. RNAcentral describes it as "SSU rRNA". It matches the Rfam family "Bacterial small subunit ribosomal RNA", at positions 540 to 1533 of the family's 1533-position model. The record is from RNAcentral.
AGUCUCAGGAAUACGAGCCUAAGGAUUGUUAGUGGGUGCGGCAGUGAAGGAAUCUCGGCUAACUCAGAGCUCCUCAAUACUGCCGUGCUCGGUGCGGAGAGACUAGUGGAGUGCAGAUGUAGCGUGUAAUGCGUAGAUUUCUGCAGGUACACCCGUCGCCGACAGCGGCUGACUGUACAGCAACUGACACUGAGGAACGAAAAGCUAGGGGAGCAAACAGGAUUAGAUACCCUGGUAGUCCUAGCCCUAAACCAUCAGAACUUGGGGUGGCCCGCGUAGGCGGGUCGUCCUGUAGCUAACGCGUUAAGUUCUGCGCUUGGGGAGUACGGUCGCAAGACUGAAACCUCAAAGGAAUUGACGGGGGCCCGCACAAGCGGUGGAACAUGUGGUUCAAUUCGACGCAACGCGAAGAACCUUACCUGGGCUUGAGCCGCUACUGACCAAGGGUAGAAAUAUCCUCUUCCCGCAAGGGACAGUAGUAGAGGUGCUGCAUGGCUGUCGUCAGCUCGUGCCGUGAGGUGUUGGGUUAAGUCCCGCAACGAGCGCAACCCUUACUCGUAGUUGCCACCCGCAAGGGGGAACUCUACGAGGACUGCUCCGGAUAACGGAGAGGAAGGUGGGGAUGACGUCAAGUCAGCACGGCCUUUAUGUCCAGGGCUACACACGUGUUACAAUGCAUGGUACAGACUGUUGCGAACCCGCGAGGGGGAGCUAAUCGGACAAAACCAUGCUCAGUUCGGAUUGCAGUCUGCAACUCGGCUGCAUGAAGCUGGAAUCGCUAGUAAUGGAGAGAUCAGAUCGACGCCGUGAAUACGUUCCCGGGCCUUGUACACACCGCCCGUCACAUCACGAAAGUGAUCUGUACUAGAAGUCGCGCAGCUAACCGCAAGGAUGCACGCGCCCGAAGUAUGGCCCAUGAUUGGGGUGAAGUCGUAACAAGGUAACCAAUGGCGAUCGCAGUCCACAGUAAGCCG